This 737-nucleotide ribosomal RNA is filed under the name uncultured bacterium. Its description in RNAcentral is "bacterial SSU rRNA". It matches the Rfam family "Bacterial small subunit ribosomal RNA", at positions 28 to 776 of the family's 1533-position model. The record is from RNAcentral.
AAUGAACGUUGGCGGCGUGGAUUAGGCAUGCAAGUCGAGCGAGGAAUUUACUUCGGUAAAUGGACAGCGGCGAAAGGGACAGUAAUGUGUAGGUACCUACCCUCUGAUCUGGGAUAGCUGCGGGAAACUGCAGGUAAUACCGGAUAAUGUCUUCGGACCAAAGGCGUGAUUCCGUCUGAGGAGGGGCCUGCAUCCUAUUAGCUUGUUGGUGAGGUAAUGGCUCACCAAGGCAACGAUGGGUAGCGGGUGUGAGAGCAUGACCCGCGUCAUUGGGACUGAGACACUGCCCAGACAUCUACGGAUGGCUGCAGUCGAGAAUCUUCGGCAAUGGGCGAAAGCCUGACCGAGCGACGCCGCGUGCGGGAUGAAGGCCCUCGGGUUGUAAACCGCUGUCGUUGGGGAGGAAAUGCAUGAGGGCUAUCCCUCUUGUUUGACCGAUCCAAGGAGGAAGUACGGGCUAAGUUCGUGCCAGCAGCCGCGGUAAGACGAACCGUACGAACGUUAUUCGGAAUUACUGGGCUUAAAGGGUGCGUAGGCUGCACGGAAAGUUGGGUGUGAAAGCCCUCAGCUCAACUGAGGAAUUGCAUCCAAAACUGCCGUGCUUGAGGGAGACAGAGGUGAGCGGAACUCAAGGUGGAGCGGUGAAAUGCGUUGAUAUCUUGAGGAACACCGGUGGCGAAGGCGGCUCACUGGGUCUCUUCUGACGCUGAGGCACGAAAGCUAAGGUAGCAAACGGG